This 530-nucleotide ribosomal RNA is filed under the name Fusarium oxysporum. RNAcentral's name for it is "eukaryotic LSU rRNA". The stretch from base 163 to 316 matches the Rfam family "5.8S ribosomal RNA". The record is from RNAcentral. Lineage: Eukaryota; Fungi; Ascomycota; Sordariomycetes; Hypocreales; Nectriaceae.
GAGUUUUCCGGGGGGGGAAAGAGUUCACUCCCAACCCCUGUGAACAUACCACUUGUUGCCUCGGCGGAUCAGCCCGCUCCCGGUAAAACGGGACGGCCCGCCAGAGGACCCCUAAACUCUGUUUCUAUAUGUAACUUCUGAGUAAAACCAUAAAUAAAUCAAAACUUUCAACAACGGAUCUCUUGGUUCUGGCAUCGAUGAAGAACGCAGCAAAAUGCGAUAAGUAAUGUGAAUUGCAGAAUUCAGUGAAUCAUCGAAUCUUUGAACGCACAUUGCGCCCGCCAGUAUUCUGGCGGGCAUGCCUGUUCGAGCGUCAUUUCAACCCUCAAGCACAGCUUGGUGUUGGGACUCGCGUUAAUUCGCGUUCCUCAAAUUGAUUGGCGGUCACGUCGAGCUUCCAUAGCGUAGUAGUAAAACCCUCGUUACUGGUAAUCGUCGCGGCCACGCCGUUAAACCCCAACUUCUGAAUGUUGACCUCGGAUCAGGUAGGAAUACCCGCUGAACUUAAGCAUAUCAAUAAGCGGAGGAAA